Molecule: ribosomal RNA, 508 nt
Filed under: uncultured bacterium
Lineage: Bacteria
Description: partial 16S ribosomal RNA
Rfam family: Bacterial small subunit ribosomal RNA
Source: RNAcentral
AUUGAACGCUGGCGGCAUGCCUUACACAUGCAAGUCGAACGGCAGCGGGGGAGAAGCUUGCUUUUCCUGCCGGCGAGUGGCGAACGGGUGAGUAAUACAUCGGAACGUGCCCUGUAGUGGGGGAUAACUAGUCGAAAGAUUAGCUAAUACCGCAUACGACCUGAGGGUGAAAGUGGGGGACCGCAAGGCCUCAUGCUAUAGGAGCGGCCGAUGUCUGAUUAGCUAGUUGGUGGGGUAAAGGCCUACCAAGGCGACGAUCAGUAGCUGGUCUGAGAGGACGACCAGCCACACUGGGACUGAGACACGGCCCAGACUCCUACGGGAGGCAGCAGUGGGGAAUUUUGGACAAUGGGCGCAAGCCUGAUCCAGCCAUGCCGCGUGUGGGAAGAAGGCCUUCGGGUUGUAAACCACUUUUGUCGGGGAAGAAACGGUUUGGGCUAAUACCCUGAGCUAAUGACGGUACCCGAAGAAUAAGCACCGGCUAACUACGUGCCAGCCGCCGCGGUAA